Non-coding RNA from Danio rerio (zebrafish), 3870 nucleotides. NCBI's taxonomy places the organism in Eukaryota, Metazoa, Chordata, Actinopteri, Cypriniformes, Danionidae. The record is from RefSeq and is a predicted model, not a curated record.
AAGAGAAGAAAAUUUUUGAAGUGUUCGCGGCAUUGUUUGGUUUUAAAUAUGUACAAACUGAUUUAAUGUUACGCUCAGUAAUGUUAGUUGCUGUCAGGAUAGACGCGUUGUAACAUGUAUAAAGACAAAUAUAAUCAAAAAUCAGCUCUAAGCGAUAAAACGCUGACAAUGGGAUCUAAAGAGAAGGAAAACACAAGAAUGGGCAAACAAACGGCAUCUGUGUACGCUGCCAAGAUAAAGACGAAAAUACACAAUACCUCGUCAUUCUUCAAGCUCUCUUUGAAAAGCAAUAACAAAGCUCUGGCCUUGGCUCUGGUUGCUCAGAAGCAGAGGAGCAGAGAACUGGAGGCAGAGGUGGUGAGGCUGAGGAAAGAUGCACAGGCAACUCAUUUUGAUCUUGCUUUUCAGCGUCAUAAAAACAAACAACUGUUUGCUGUUAUAAAAGAGUUUUAUGACUCCUCCCUGAACUCGAUGUCAAAGGCCGUUGACAUUUUUUGUAAUGAUGAGGUUCCAGACAGUGUUGACACUGAAGACAACACCAGUGAGGGUCAGAAUUUUGAAAUGGAGAAAGAGGUUGAACGAGAGCCAAAUAGACUAACAUUGUGUCCACAACAUCAUAAUAAUGUUGAGUCUGAAUCAGUGAAUACUGCUAUGGUCAAAGGAGCUACAGAUAGUGAUGCUCCCAACCAAAAGGAAGACAAUUUAGCACUUCAAAACACCAUAAAUGACUCUAGAAUGGAUAUUACCAUGAGUGACAAUCCUUCUGAAAUUCUGACAGUGGAAACAAACGCAGGAACCUCUAGAGUUACAGAUGAACAUCAGAUAAAGGAGAAUGUGUGUCUGUCUGAAAAAGGUAGUGAUGGUGUAUCUGGAGUGGAAGACUCGCUAAUUCAAUUUUCAUCAGAUUAUUCAAUAGCUGUGCCAAAAGAUAUGACCACUGUGACACAGCAGUGCUCUACCACUGUUCAGAAUGGCCAGGAAACAGAAUUACUAUCCGCUCGCAGGAAAACUCAUAUCACCUCUCGUUCUAAAAGGCGCACCUGUAAACCGAAAGAACCUAACCAAGAUCUAAGAAAAACAUAUACAGUCUCCAAAGAUCCUCCUAGUAAUAUUUUAAACGAUUGUGGUAAUGAUCUUGAGCUUGAGAAUUCUGAACCUUCGAGUAAAACGGUAAAAAACAAAGAAAAAGAGACUAAUGACACCCAUGAACCAAGAAGAACAUUUGUAGUUCACGAUGGGUUAAAAUCUGAGAAGAGCAGGAGGACCAAAGUCUCAAAACCUAUGAUGGAUCUCAGUUCAUUGUUUGUGGAUGAAAAUGUGGAGUCUGCCAUUAGUGUAUGCUCAGAAGAUCCAGGUACUGAUAAGCAUCUCAGUGAAGUCAAAACACACACAAAUAAAACUCCAGCGCACCUGCUUUCUCAGUUUGAAAAGAACAAUACACAGAAAAAGAGAGGAACUUAUGUGAUACAAACAAGUCACUCAAUCAACAGGAGUUCAGCAUUGACAGAUUGCAAUAUAUUUGAUGAUUCUAACAAAGCAAAAGGUUUACUGGAAGUAGUAGAAACCCAAACAUCACCUCUAAAUAUUGGUUUAGAUGUCACCGCACAACAUUACAAGAAGCCAGAGCCUGUUUCUCAUGACGGAUCAAAGAAAAAAGCUUACAACAGGGAACAUUUACAGGAUUUGCAAAUCGGUCUUGUAGAGGAAACCUCUGAAUUUACAUCAGUGCCGGGUAAAGCUAAGAAGCCUAGGAAAGAGGGAGCAGAUAGAAUUAAAGAUCGGAAUGUUCCAACAAAAGAAAAAUCCAAUUCAUUAACAAAGAAACCAAAAAAAUGUCCUGUGAAUGUGGAUGAAAAUGUGUCCACCAGAAGUCCAGAUGUGAUUAGUCUUCAGAAAGCAGCUGAAUGCAGGCCUUUGUCUAAUGUUUUACUACCACCAUGGAAAUCUCAUUGCUUAGCCGCAGAGGAGGAUCUCCUAGAUAAUCACCAUGCAGAAAUGCCUGAAAUAAGCUCUCCUUCAUCUGUUGGCAAGGCUGAUCAGACUGGCCAUAUCAACAUGGAUGUUCCUUACAUAAGUCUGAAUCAAACUAACCAAGAACAAGAGAGCAGAUUCAGGAAAAUGUAUAUGACUUCAUCUUCUGACAAUACGGCCUGUGAAGAAAUGGCUGAUGCUGCGUUUUCCAUUUUUGAACAGGAUCAUCUCUCUAAUAAAACAGAUGUUUCUUCUGUAAAGAGCACUAGUCCAUUUACCAUGGAUAAAUAUAAUAUGACUUUAGGCUGUUUUAGUGAGGACCUUCAGUUCACAGAAGAGAGACCUCCUUGGGAGGCCAUUGAGGAUUGCAGUGUGAUGCUCUCAGAUGAAAGCUGUGCUCACAGCCCUCAACCACAGACUAGAGUUCAGACUAUCAACAUUUAUGAGGACCAGGACUCAAGCUUUAAGACUCAAUUACCAGAAGAAGGAAGGGUAAUGAAGAGUCUAACAAACACAGUUAAUGCUGAUUUAGGGAGACCGCGAAGACGAGCAACACCAGUCACCUACAAAGAGCCAAAAAUCAACUGCAAAAUGAGGCGAGGGGACAAGUACACUGAUACACAAUUCUUAAACUCUCCAGUGUUCAAAGAUAAAAAGAAGAAAAAGAAGAAACUCAUUUCGGAGUGAUAAACCCCCCUGUCCCCAUGACAUGUUUUUUUUUUUAAGUUUGUCUUUUUAUGUAAUGAAAAUGUUUAAUAGUUUGAUUUUAAAGUAUUUUACCUGCAGCUGGUAAUAUUGCAUUGGAUCUCAGCUUUCCUUUUUUUGUGUAUUUAGGAAACAUUGUUUGAAUUUUACAUAUUUAUUUUAGUGUUUAAUAAAGAGAAUCUGCUCUAUGUGUAGUUUAACAUUGAUUCUACGUUGUAGCUGUGCUACAUUCCUGCUAAUCGUAUAAAAGUCAGUUGUGUUCAGGACCCUUUACAGCAGCUUUCAUAUACAUGCUAUUGAGCAGUUGUAUCUGUGUGUUAUGUAACCAAACACUGGCCGACAGCGUUAAAGUGAUUGAAGGACUGAAUUAAUAAUUUAGAGGACUGUUCACAUGAGAUGACUACAGUUCUGAGAUCAAGUAGGAGUGUCUGUUCUACCAGUUUAUGCUGUCUGAAAGCAGCCCGAACCCUCUCAUGCGUAGUUCUCUUAUUGUGCCAGAAUCUGUGCUAGAAUUUUAGGUAAGUCAUCUUUGUAUACAACUAUGUGUAUUUAGUAUUCAUGAGGCAGGUUGGUUUUCUGUUUGUACAGGUGAAGUGUGUUUUUGCAUCAAGGUUAAAGUCGAUGGAUUAUAUUAAACUGUGGUCUUUUCUAUACAGCAUAAGUUCUUUUUAAAAUGUAUUCAGUGUUUGUAGAGCUUGUUUUUGUCAUGCUUUAGGUGUUGGGUAAUCUAACCCUUGUUUGUUUUAUACCCUGUCAAAUGUUCAUCUAACUUUUCCUGUUAAUAGGAAACAACUGAGCUUGGAGUUUUCUUCAUGUGUUUAGUGUUGCCCCUGGCAAAGGAUUAACCACUAAGACUGAGUUUAAAUAAACACCUUCUUAUUAAUAAGUGUCUCAGCGAGAGUCUGAAAUAUGGAAGCCAAGCGAGUCAAGAGGGAUGUUAAAACCUUGCUGUAAGUAGCCUAAAAUGCAUUGAGUUGAAUCUAGAUUAGUGAAAUAGUUAUUUUGUGAGGGCUUGUCUUUAAAAUAAUGUUUAAAACUUGUAACGACUACAGAAAGAUAUGUCUCCUAAACUCUUUUAGUGGUGAAUAUAUUGGACGACGAUUCAGAGAAGAUAGUUUUGAUCCAAAGGGGAAAAGCACUUCUACUAUGUUGGAUGAUUUGGUAAUUGAUCCACAUUAAAGGACCAGUACAAUC